This 251-nucleotide ribosomal RNA is filed under the name uncultured bacterium. RNAcentral describes it as "partial 16S ribosomal RNA". It matches the Rfam family "Bacterial small subunit ribosomal RNA", at positions 524 to 776 of the family's 1533-position model. The record is from RNAcentral.
UACGAAGGGGGCUAGCGUUGCUCGGAAUCACUGGGCGUAAAGGGUGCGUAGGCGGGUCUUUAAGUCAGGGGUGAAAUCCUGGAGCUCAACUCCAGAACUGCCUUUGAUACUGAAGAUCUUGAGUUCGGGAGAGGUGAGUGGAACUGCGAGUGUAGAGGAAAUUCGUAGAUAUUCGCAAGAACACCAGUGGCGAAGGCGGCUCACUGGCCCGAUACUGACGCUGAGGCACGAAAGCGUGGGGAGCAAACAGG